UUUAUACCGUGACCGUGCUCCUCCCUUAUUAGUACGUGUACGUACUCGACCGCCACCUUGAUUGCGCGCGAGCUUCGCUAGCCGCGCCAUAAUCAGUGGCACGCAGUGCGGGCAGUGAGCUGGCUGGAGGCGGAGCUUGAUCGCCACCGCGCUAUAUAACCGUCGCACUCCCGCUCGCUCCCUCCCACUGCUCGAGUUCCAUCAGCUCAAGAGAACCACGCAGUGACGCAGAUCAUCAUGGCGCCACUCCUCCGCCCCCUGGUCCUCGCGCUUCUGAUCGCGUCCUGCGCCGCGCAGCAGGCGCCACCGGCGCAGCCCCCGCAGACGCCGCCGUCCAACUCCCCGCCGCAGGCACCUCCAGCGGGCAACCCGCCGCCGGCGCCCCAGGCGCCUCCGGCCGGCAACCCGCCUCCUGCUCCCACCAACCCUCCUCCGGCUCCGACCACGCCGCCCCCGGCGCCGACCACUCCUCCUCCGGCUCCCACCACACCGCCUCCGGCCCCGACGACCCCUCCUCCAGCCCCCACCACUCCGCCGCCGUCGCCACCGGCCUCUCCCCCGCCUGCUCCCACCACCCCGCCACCGUCUCCUCCGAUGAGCCCGCCACCCGCUCCCAUGACCCCGCCCCCGUCUCCGCCCAUGGCACCGCCUCCGGCCACUCCUCCUCCCCCCGCCACCCCCCCUCCGGCCGCUCCCACGCCGGCCCCCAGCACCGCCCCGACGCUCCCGCCCGUGGCGACACCGUCCGCGUCCCCGAAGAGCCCCAAGACCCCGAGCCCCGCCGCCGCGACGUCCCCGUCGCCCGCGCUCUCGCCCGCGGGCACGACGCCGAACGAAGACUCGGGUGCAGGCGCGCGCGCAGCCGGCUUCGCCACGCUCGUGGCAUUGGCGGGCGCGGGCCUCGCCGUCCUGCUUUGAGUAGUAGAUCUCCUCCUCCUCCUCCCGUCGAUGUUGUCACCUCAUCCCUCCCCGUGCCUCGACGACGUUGCUGCUCCUCCGUUUCCAUUUCAUCUCUCUUUUUUUUUAUUUCUUUCGUGUUGUUAUUUAAUUUUACCGGCUCUAUGCUCGAUUCUUGAUGUACGAUGAUGACGAUGGUGAUGCAUUGGUUUCUUUGGUUCCGCGGGCGGGUGGUGGUUAGUGUUCUGCCCGCGGGUGUCGCAUUGUACUUUUACCGCACUACAUUUUGGUUCUAUAGAGAGGAUUUGUGUACAUUCUUGGUGCAUUAUUUCCGUGGCAGUUGAAUAAAUUCUCUGUGCAUUAUUUACCGCGAUGAUCUAGUGAAUAGAUUUCACCCGUGAUCUGACUUAAUGGUACCUGCACCGAAGAGCCAAUGGUGCUUUGUAGUACGGUGUUGGACGAGAUCGCAGCGACAACUGCGACGAUUUCAUUGUGUUGGUUCAGAAUUCAGAGUUGGGUGCAAUGUAAUUACCACGGCGCAUUGGGAUCGCAGGUACGAUUUGUACGAAAUUAGCUAGGAACAUGUGCAUGUGAUGACCACGUCCAGGGUUGUUCGUGCUGCUGUGCUGAUUUAAACCGAAUUGACAAGCGAACCGAAUGAGCAAUUCGGUCUCUGGGUUUCUUCGGACUUUCAGAGUUGGGUGUAAUCACCACGGUGCAUUUGCAGGUAGGAACUACUAGUAGCUAGGAACCUGGUGUCCUGGUCCACGUGAGUGACCAUGUGCAUCUGUAAAAAAGCACGGACACUUUAGAUCACGGUUUCUUCCCCGACUCGCCUGGAUCUAGAUGCGAAAAUCGGUAAAUGAUAUAGGAUGUACUGUUUGAACGAAAGCGUAAUCAUCUGGGCCUUUUUUUUCCUUUUUAAACAAACGGGCCCAUCGGCGGGGCCCAACCUGAAUUAGACCGCGGUGUCAGGAAUGAAAAAAAAGAUGUCAUUGCUCAAAAAAAAUGGAAAAAAAAAAGAUGUCAGGGAAGAAAAGAACGGUACGAGAAAUCAUUCAGGUUUUAAAAAACAAGAAUCAUUCAAUCAGAAUUGAAAGGAAAUGGCGUUCCAGGUUCCAUAUAUCCAUUGCAUCGGAUACCGUCACGUAUGAGUUUGGCUAAACGGUUGUCGUGCUCCGCCUUCGGCAGAUUCCAGUUACACCAACAAUCAUCACAACUUGUAGCGGUGAAGUAUUUAUAACAGGGUUUCGAGGUUGGGAAAGCGGACUGCUAAAUUAUACGUUGAUGUAUUCGAAAAGUGAGCACGUAACUCGUAAGCACCAUACUCAAUAGAGUCCCUUGCUGAAUUCUGAAUGUAAGGUAAAUCAGCGUAAAAAUCUCUGGGCAUCCACGUGAUAUGAUCAGAAAUCUUCCCACCAACCGCUCGUACUAGCGAUCGCAGAGCAAUUGCCACGACACGCGUGCAGCACUGCUCAAAGUUCAUGGUGCAGGUCACGCCUCCGGAAAAGGGCCUGGGAUCGAGGACGCAGGGCAAGCAGGGCCAACGUGACAUGCUUGCGGAGUUGCGGUUGGUGGGUGGCCGGAGUCCGGAUGGGGGGACCGGCCGCGCCAUCACCGCGAACGAAUUGAAGGCGAUCACGCACGAUCGGCAGUCGCGCCAGCCCGAUGGACCCGGCGCCGGAGGCACGAGCGAGAAAACGGAUAGAGGCGCCGGCGCGGGACACGUAUGGUUCCCCGCGCAGAUCGCUGUCGGGACCCCUGCGCCACGCCCACGCCGCUCGAGUACGGCGCCAGCCCCGCCGCCGGGCCGCCGUCCUCCCUCGCUUCGGAGGCACGCCAUGCGCCCAUGCCCACGCGUGCGUGGGAUCCUGACCUGCUGGCUGCCAUCGGAUGAGUGCGCGGUACGCAAGGAAUCCGCUGGAGCUCGCUCUUCAGCAUGCCGAAUCACGGAUCUGUUUGUUUCGUGCUGCCUCGACGGAGGAAGAGGUAGAAUCUGCUUCCUGGUUCGUUCGACCAGGAGCGAUGCGUGCGUGCAGGAACGACGCGCGCGGAAAUGCGCCUCGGUUAAGUUGGGGUUAGCACGUCAUUUUCACUGAUGAUGAGAGGCGCUUUCGGCCCUGAUUUCUCGCUUCGGUCUUGCAUCGCAUGCACAUGAAUGGGGAGCAAGGUGUGGUUGGACGGGCCAUCGCGCAAUGAUGCGGCCGUGGAGAGCCGUGGACCAGAGCAAGGGGCCGGGGCGAUGGAUGAGGACGCGGAGCACAACUGGGCUGGAAGGAUUAAUGUUCUGGAUCGAUCAUCAGUUCAGGGGCAUGUAUGCCGUUACAGAUUUGCUAUGCCGUUGUGGCUUUUCCAGACAAUUGCGCCCGACUAGUCCAUCUCAGUAGAACAAUUUCCUUUCCCUUCCAACCUAGGAUGAACAAAAAUUUAUUCAAGAUGAAAAAAAAGACAAAUAGAUGCGUGAAUAGUUGCGGGAUCUAAUUGAACCCGCAAUAUUACUAUUCAUGCAUUGCUUUCUUUUUUUUGUGCACAAAUUUUUUCCAUCCUUAAAUUUUGCAUGAUGGUAGAAGAUGACAAAUGCAUAUUUUUACAUGAAUUUUUGAUGCGCAUUUAGAGGUGCAUCCACAGGUUGGGUGCACGGUAGCACUCCAACCCGCCGCAGGACCUGAACAUUUCUCCUUCACCAUAUGGGUGCCUCCAAUAACUUAAUUUUUUUUUGCAAAGGGUAGCUCAAAAUAAUUACUAUUUAUUUAAUUAGUGUUAUUCGAUUUGAAAACUGUUAAGGAGUUGAUCGAUAUGCCCGAAGCUUAUUGGCCGGCCCACAACCGAAAGGCCUUUUGGGCCUCAGCUGUCGGCCCAUGAACAGCCAAUAGCGUUGUAGGUAGCCCAAAACGGACGGCCAAGACCUCCUCCGUGGACGUCUCGGCCUCUCCGGGGGUGGCUCUGUCUCAGUCUCAGUGCUGGGCGCCAAGCGUGUACUACUUUAGUUUGUACGCCUGAACCCUUAUGUGCUGCUCUUGGUUUUGUUAACAAGAAGUGUUAGCCCUGCCCCCUGGUUUUGUUUCGGUACUAGCCAAUUGGCGCUCGAUUAUUAGUAGGAGUAACUGGCAAAGGUUGGUUAAGUUUUGCUGCCCGAUUUGCUCCAUGGUCUGUGCAAGUGCGACAGCACCACUCGCGGCGCGUCACGCGGCCUGUUCGCUUCAGCUUAUUCAACCGGCUUAUCAGCCACCAAACAGUGUUUUCCUCUCACAAUAAAUCAGUCGUUUCAGCUUUUCAGCCGACUUAUAAGCUGAAGCGAAGAGGCCCACGGCCGUCACCUUCUCUCCCGAAUCCCGAUAGGCGACACGGACUCAGAGACAGCACGCGGUGGGGUUCAAAGACCAAACAUCAGAGAAAUGUAGUUUUUUUUUUCUAAAUGAAGAACGACCGUACAGGCACAGGCAUACAACACGAGUCUCGAACCAGACGUUCGCGACGCCUAAACGUGAAUUCAGAGUGCGUAAACACAAUCAACCACAACCACCAAACGGAAAAGGCACGGCGCACGGGAACGGGAACGACAGCACUGCCUCUUGCCUAGGCCAUCAGGGCGAGGCCGACGAGCCCCGCGGCGCACGCCAGCACGCCCAUCGCGAGCGGUGCCUCCCCGGCGCUGGCCCCGCCGGUGCUGCUCGGGGUGGCCCUGGUCGUGGGCGCCGUCGUGGGCGUGGACGGCGUUGUCGUCGUCUCCGGAGGAGUGUCGUCGUCGGAGCCGGGCGCGGCGGGCGUCGUGGCGGGCGGGGACGACGCCGCCGGGGCGGUGGCGUCCGCGGCGGCGACCGUGACGGCGACCUUCAUGCCGCCGCUGCAGUGGCCCGGGGUGCCGCAGAUGAAGUAGCGCGUGCCGGGCGCAGUGAGCGCGAUCUUGGUGUUCUGGUCGCUGUACGACUGCAGGGAGUUGCUGGCCGAGCACGCGCUGUAGUCCGCCGAGCUCACCUCCGCCACCGUGUGCAUCGCGCUGUACUGGAACACUGCAUGCGUCCGUGCAACUUUGUCAGUCUCAGCGACUCAGCGAGAGAGAGGAAAAAAAAAUCUGCCUCUACAAUUCGCAACCACAGUGCGGCCGACAUGUGGGCCAUGUUAUGGGAUUGGGCUUGAGGCUAGUUCUUACCCAGGUUGUCGCCAACACUGAAGGUCUUGCCUUUCGCCCAGGUGGUGUAGUCCACACCGCUGGUCCACCCGGACGAGCCGCCGACCACGUAAUCCGUAGCGUGCGCCGGAGCGGCGGCGACGGCGAGGAGUACCAGGCCGGCAAUAACUAGAGUGCCAGCCAUGAUUACAGCUUCAAGAACAAGGGUGGGUCUGCAAUCUAGGCAGAUGAGUACACUGUUGCAGGAGGCUUAGCUGUGGGCAGUGAUGAGUGCUGGGACCUGGAGUGACCCCAGCGGUUAUAUAGGGUCAGCGAAGCGAUGCAGGUGCUAACUGAAAGUGAUUUGGUGAGUUUUGGUGGAGUUGGGUUAGUUAUGCUGAAUUGCUCAUCAGUCAUCACCAACUCUCCUGCUGGCGUCCCCUGAUUCCCUGGACAGUUUCUGGUGAUGCAGGGACAAGAGCCAACAAAUAUGUAGCUACGGUACCUAUAGAUGAUUUGUGAGUUUUAGUAGAGAACUAGAGAUGAUGGAAUGGCGUCUACUUGUUUAGGAUUCCAAUAAUUACUAGGCAGUAGGCACUCACUAAUCACCAGUCGCUUUAAGCACAGACGCACAACGACGUAAAAAACAACUGCAAGUUCACAGGGCAACUACGACGCAUUUUGCUCACAUCACAGGUGUUCUCAGUUUAAUUUCUCACAUGUGUUACAACUUUAUUACCAAGACGUGAGCAAUGGUGAAAAACACCCUAUCAAGACGCGCGCAUGUGUUUUCUAUAAAAAGGAAGUGCUUGUUGCUCUCAAUCAACCUGUUGUAAUUCCUAAAAGACUUCACAUCACUGCAGGUAGAACAUCCCUCCGCCACAGAACUAGUAGAAAGUUUUUCAUUACUAUUUUUUCUGAUCAACUUAUAUAGGUGUGUUUGGAUGGAGAGACAGGAUGUGACGAUUUCAAUUUUACAUGUGUUUGGUUGGAGAGAUAUUGGGACGAGGACGACAUCAAAGUGAAAUAUUCCUUGAAAAAGUGGGAUGGAUCCGUUCCUAAUAAAGGCCGGACCGAUCCGUCCCUCGCGGACAGCGCUAACGCCAUCUCGCGCAAGGCCGAGGCGGCGCCGCGAGCCAGCCGUGGCCGGAUGGCGGCGGAGGAGCAGGCCGCGGCGGGGAUAGGCGAGGAUGCGGCAGCGGCGGAGCCGGCCGUGGCCGGGCGGCGGUCGCGGAGCAGGCCAUGGCGUCGGUGGCGGAGCAGCUAGCAGUGGUCCCGCAAUGUUAGAGUGAAUGACAAUUGGGACCCACAUUUAACGGCACGAAAACGUCGUCCAUCUCGUCCCUCACCCAUCCCUCCAACUAAACACUAAACUAGGGACGUCCCCAUUCCUCCAACCAAACAUCAAGUGGAAUCAUCUCAUCUAAAAAAGAGGGAUGACCCUAUCCGUUCCCUCCGUCCCUCCAUCCAAACACACGCAUAGAUAACACGCUACUAUAUGAUAUUGCGUGAAAUGCUGCAUUGGACAAAAUACAACAUUAAAGCGGCUGCAGUAGUCAUGAAAGGUACAACUAAAAGAUGUAGCAAGCAAGUUUUAGUUGAGCCGUUGAACAAACCAACUUGAUAGCUUCUGCAUCGUACCUUGCGCGGACCUAAUUUUAUCUAAGCCCAUCGAUGAUUGAUUAGCUUUUCAUUGUCACAAGCAGGUUUUCUUUCAAACACUUUGUCAAGCAGGUGAGCCUGACGGCGAUUGCUGGGCGAUUCCUGCAGCUGCUGUCAGCACCUGUUAUACUAGUAUUCAUCAAGAUUUGAGGGGCCCUGUCUGGUUGGACUGGUGGAUGCAGUUAUGUAACAUGUUUAACUACUAUUCACUUAAAAUUUGCUUGCGUGAUGAAGGUAAGCACUGUGCAACUAACCAUGGACACUUCCCAUUGUCUGACCGCCUCUCGUCUGUACAAUAAAAGGCGCGCUUUGGGAUCAAUCAUUUGAGCGUUUACUGUCAGAACAGAAUUUUGAGUGUAAAAGGUGGCCGUCAUUCUGAAUGACUGGUCAGUGGCUUUUUUCAUGAAAACACCCAUUUUCAGUGAGAUGCAACAUGUACAGGCAAGUUGCCACACCUGUUUAGUUCAACAAAUUUCCAGUCAAACUGUCCACUGCUGUUUGACGACUGGAAGUCUGAAGCAUCAGAGCAUGAGAAGUCGAUGGCCUGAAGUCUGAAGCAAUUAAUCCGGGUGAAUUUUGCCAUUCCUUUGUGCGUGCUUGAGAGCAAAUGACGCCUUUUUUUUUAUUGUUGAUGUUCUAAACCGGGAACGCAAUUUUGUUCUUUCUUUAUGAAAGAAGGGAAAGUACCAAUGACUUUUGAUGCCUUAUUUUUGGAUACAACAAUAUAGAGUAUCACUCAGUCACUCCCAUAAAAGUACAUACAGUAGUACUAGCAGUCGCCCACAGAAUGAUCAGCAGAGCUAAUAAUCAAAUAAAAUGAAAUCAAGUUUUCCUCACAAUAACCGAAAACCGAUUAUUUCUCGGUCUAUUUCGGGACAGUCGCCGUGACCAGGAAGCCUUUGCCGUCGGGGAUCACGACGACGAGCGCUUCGUCGCCGCCGGUCACGAUGCUGUAGGACACGUGCACGGGCUUGCUCUCCCUGAGCGCGAACUCCUCGAGCCCGAGUUCCUGCCACUGCGCAACCUCGAGCUCGUGCCCGGAACCCCCGGACGCCGGCGGGCUAUCGCCCGCCGCGCACGUCUCCACGGUCAUCCCUCUCGGGUUGCCCCCGACGCCGUCCCUGGCGACGGCGACGAGCGAGAACGACCGCGGCGCCUUGCCCGCGCCGAGCCUCUCGCUGGCCUCGUCGACGCAGGCCCUGGCGAGCGCUCGGUGGUCAAGCGCCCCGCCGCCGGCGGCGGCCCUGAAGAGCACCGUCUCGGUGCCGGCGGCGUCGGCGGCUGCAAAGGCGUCGAGCGGGACGGACCUGAUGCGGCGGGUCAUGGUGCCCGGGUUCUGGAAGUAGCCCGCGUACUGCAUCAUCGGGAUGGUGGCGGCCUUGUCCCGGGCCUUGAUCUCGGCGUGCACGCGCGCCCACGACAGGAGGAAGCGCGCCAGCGCCAGCGGGUCGCACAGCAUCAGACUGCAGCUCACGCCCACGGCGUAGCCCCCGUCGCCCUGGAACCGUGUCAGCUGCAACGCCGCAGGGAAAACAGCAACACGUCAGAACUGUUCACGAUUCUGCAAGGGUGUGGUACUGUAGAUUCCAAAAAGAAAAAGCAGGCUCGUGCUCGUGCUGCAUGCUUUGCAUCACACACCACACCGUCUUCGAACAAGCUACAUUGAUUGCAGCCUUCCAGGGUGUGGUAGGGAAGAAGCACGUUUGUGCCUUUGUGUCGAGAUCUGGCUGGAUGUGGGGUGGCACAGGACACGUGUGGACCGCACGCUUCGCGCAACUUGCGGUUCUGUUUGUAGGAGCGCUUGCAGUUCGUUACGUGUCCCAGUCGAAUUUACUCGAACCACCUCGUACUGUCCAUGUCCCCUACAUUAUGCCGCAUACGGAAUUAUGGAUGCUAUACGUUUCUCGAGUCCACUCUGCUGACUGCUCGAGGCUUGUCACGGUUUCAUUCUCUUGAUUUGGCAUCUUAAUUUUCACUCUUGCAAGACUGAUUAGUGGAGUGUUAGAUUGCUUUUACAUCCUAGUUUGAGUCCGGUCGAUGCUGAUCCCACGGUGGACAACCACAACCUACCAUACUGACUGUAAUCUCUUUACAAUAUGAAAAGGUGACAGCUUCCUAGAUACUGAAUUCCAAAUAAGAAUUUGAUAGCUUUUUUCAAAGGUAGAAAUUGAAGGCUCGAAGUAGACAUAUCUGGCGGUCAAUCAAAUUACGCAUGAAGCAAGCGAUUAGAACGAUGAUCCCAACUUGCUAGUCAAACGUCGACUCGCGACACGCCACGCCGAUGAUCGGACGCUACUACUAAAACUUGAUUAAUAGUACGGUUAGUGUCAGGUGUAGGUAAUCACGCGAUUUGAGUCCUAAAAAAUUGGAAUAGGUCACACAUACCUGCACGAAGCAGAGGGCGCACAUGUCGGGAUCCUCGGCGUCCACGUCGGUCCACGGCACGAGCGCGGCCUCCCGGCGCUCGCGGCCCUCCUCGCCCCCGCCGACGAAGUCGUCCACGGAGGCCUCCACCGUGGCCAGCACGAGCCUGACGCCCGUGUCGUUGAGCUUCACCUCCCAGGACCCGUCGGCGCGGCGCCGGAGCCGGCCGGCCAUCUCUGGGUGGUCGGCCACGGCCUCGCUCAGCGACUCCUUCACCAGGAGCGCCUCCUCCUGCCCCCACGGGACCCCUGCCCCAGCUACCGCGCGGUAGUAGAGCACCACGCGGGCGCGGCGCUGCAGCGCGGCGGCCGGGAGCGGGGGCGCGGCCACGGAGACGGGGCGCGCCCGCCCCGGCUCCACCUUGCGCGUGGGCAGCGCCGUCUGCAGGGCCUCGAUGUGGACGUGGCGCGCGGCGGUCGCGGACGCCAUGUGCGGCGGUUGCCGGUGGGUGCGCGGAGGCGGAGCGGUGGGAGGGGAGGCUGCGGGUAGGAAAGGACAGCGGCAGCGUGGUACAGGGCGAAACGUCCCUUCCGCCGUGGCGCUAUUUAUACGUGCUCGGCUUGCCUGUUUCGGCUGUAUUGACGGGCCGUAUUAAUUGCCGUCAGCCCGUGGUGCACAGCCUGUACGAAUACGACUCCACCGAUCGGUGAUGAAUACAGAGCCUCAAAUGGAUUGAAACUACGGAAUUGCACGUCACAAAUUCAGAAGUAUACUAUUGUCGUCAAUUUUAGGUGAAAAACUUUGCAUUUCGAGCAUCACGUCAUCGAAAGUCUCUGAUCAGACUCUGAAGUAUGUGCCCAACAGGCCAACACCAUCACUCCUCGAGUCCAUGUGUCCUUCUGAAAGUGUUGUUUUCAUGGCUAAAAAGGGGUCCAAGUACGAAUGUACGAUUAAAUAAAAAGGCAACGAUAACUAUGCUGGGGUGUUGAUACAUCCCGCUAAAGUUUAGCACCCAUCACGUCGGAUGUUGGAUGCUAAUUAGGAGUAUUAAAUAUAGACUAAUUACAAAACUAAUUGCACAGAUAGAGUCAAUUAUGAGUUGGGUGCUUUAACCAUUCAGUCUAAUUAGUCCAUGAUUUGAUAAUGUGGUGCUACAGUAACCAUUUGCUAAUGAUGGAUUAAUUAGGUUUAAUAGAUUCGUCAUGUGAAUUAGUAUAGGAUUCUGCUCAUGUUUAGUCCUCCUAAUUAGGAUCCGAAAAUCUAAUAUCUAAUAUAUGACUGCUUAAGUUGACCACAGGAUGUCGGCCUCCAUUAUCGCCGCGCUGCCCGACAGAUUCGAGCACUAAUGACACCACGGUCACGUCAGGUAACCGUUUCCAUUCAAAGUCGCUACUGUACUUUUUGGUAGUGCCGUUGAAGGUUGCUUUUAAACUUCAUCACGGCUGCUGCAUGGCUGAUAUUCAGUCAUCUUCAGAAAAGAUAGCUAACAACUUGUCAUCAGUGCUCGCAUCUGUCGGGCACUAUGGAACUCCUGCUAACUGUUGAGCCUCCGAACCAGCAGGCACUGCCCGGUGAACGAACCUGUCGAUGCACAAGCACAAGCAUCAAUCCUCAGUAACAAAUCGCAUAGACAGUCGGAUCGGCGCUCCAGGUAAUCUGCGUUACAUUUUUCUUUUUUGAUGAGUAAGCACUGUGCUCAACAGCUCAACGUGUCUGAAACGUUGUUACUUUUCCCAAUUACCCUUUUAGCCUCAAUUAACUCGCGUACUGCAAUUAAGCUCGAAAAGAAGAAUGUUCCGUCAAUCGAAUAUUAGAAAAACUAUUAAAAGAGUAAUAUUUAUGUAAAGUCACUCACGGCAUAUAUGAACAGAGCAGUCACAAUAAAUGUGAUGCCUACCGUUAGUACGAUCGUUACAUAUGAACAACCAACCUUAUCAAGUUAUCAACCGCCAUCGCCUCUCCCACUACCCGUCCUUUUGUCAUCAACGUUGACCCCUGAUUGAUCCUCGAUGUAGAGUCAAUAUAAUUGAGCUCGCAUUUGGGUGUUCAAAUUCGCUUGUGCAAAAUUCUUAGAUUGACCACGCAAAGGCCAGGGCCAGCGCCAAACAAUGAACUUAAAACAUCAAAAAUGAUGUGCCGUCCAAUCUAAAUGUGUUGGGGCCAACUUUGUAGAAAUCCUAUAUUUUGACUGUGAUGGUGAAUUACUGGUUUUGCCUUUCAUGGAAAAUGCUUUCUCACUUUUACUAGUCGAUGUAUAAAUUUCCAUGAACUACUCCCCUCUAGUCAUAAAUGAGUGACGUUUUGGGCUGUCUUAAUUCACCCUUUCAAAUUUUGGUUGUAUAUUGAGUUUUGAUACCUGGGAAUGCUAUGUGUACAUUUGUCCUGGAAUUUAUAUUGUUCCUAUGUUUCAUAAAUAUUUUGUAAUAAAAAGUGCUCAAAGUUGUGUUUGUUCUAUGCCGAUGUGAAGCCAAGUUACCAAUUUCCUGCUUAGUUAGUUUUUAUCACUGAUUUUGUACUACUAUAAUACUCUAUUUUAGCCACUAAUAAAACAAACAAUUAUAAUACGAAAAUUGUUUUUUCUUUGAGAUGAAUCUCCAUAUGCCACCUUAUUGUCGGAUACAGAAAUAUAAGACUCAAUAAGGUAUAUAUCGAAUAGCUACUUAAGUGCAAAAAACUUAGCUAUGUUCAUCCUAGAAACAUCGUCAAUUCGUCACCCAUAUAUGGACGAUUUGCAACUUAGGUAGGACCUGCACUUAAAACGGCACAACUCCUCAUUUUUAUGGAGAUUGACCUGCUAUUACGUACUAAGUUCAUGGUGAAAUUUCUAAACUUCAAACAAAACUUCUUGUGGUAUGGCAUGUUUUGUUCCAUUAGGACAAAGCUUUGACCGGUUAUAUUGUUAAUAUGUCAUCCAUGUGAUACGAGAUGGUAAUCAUAAGUAAUAUCAUAAACGACUCUAAUAGCAUCAAGUUUGAACCCCAAAUAUUUUUUUGAAUUAAUAGAGUAAUUGUUUGUCAAAAAAUUUGACCUAACUAAAUGAAAUUUGUAGGUUCAAACAGAUGAAGUAGGCACAGUUUAUUUCUUGAAAGUAGAGUGACCUAAAAUGGGCAGUUUGUUUGGUGUUGUUACUUUAUUAGAUAGGUUAGGGUACCUAUUGAGUACGGGCAGUCCAGCCAAUCCAAUCGGGAAUUGCGUGCGCAGUUCAGAUAACGCAUAGUAUGUUAUUAUGUGCUGCUCAAGAAAUCUCUUGACCCAAUUGUAGUAUAGGGAAGAUCUAACCUUCUAUUACUAUAGGUAAUUUAGUAAUUAUUAUAUUGUAAAAAGUGAGAUUCCACAUGGAACGAUCUUAGUGUAAAAAAAUAUUAUAGUGAUACAAUUAAUCUUGAUCAUAAGAUGUUUUCUAACACUAGUACCAUAAAACUCCGACUUUUUUGUUUUUUAGCCCUUUUUCGGAAAAAAUCUCACAAAUAGGCCCCUGGCGAAACCAAUUCCGAAAAUGGACCCUCGGCUUGGCGCCAGGCUGGCUGGCGCCAAGGUAUAACGUCUUGGCGCCAGCCGUCCUGGCGCCAAGGCCCCUACACCGCGCGACCAACGUGGCACCGGCCCGCUGACGUGGCGCGGAGGCUUGGCGCCAAGAUCUGUGGCGCCAGNNNNNNNNNNNNNNNNNNNNNNNNNNNNNNNNNNNNNNNNNNNNNNNNNNNNNNNNNNNNNNNNNNNNNNNNNNNNNNNNNNNNNNNNNNNNNNNNNNNNNNNNNNNNNNNNNNNNNNNNNNNNNNNNNNNNNNNNNNNNNNNNNNNNNNNNNNNNNNNNNNNNNNNNNNNNNNNNNNNNNNNNNNNNNNNNNNNNNNNNNNNNNNNNNNNNNNNNNNNNNNNNNNNNNNNNNNNNNNNNNNNNNNNNNNNNNNNNNNNNNNNNNNNNNNNNNNNNNNNNNNNNNNNNNNNNNNNNNNNNNNNNNNNNNNNNNNNNNNNNNNNNNNNNNNNNNNNNNNNNNNNNNNNNNNNNNNNNNNNNNNNNNNNNNNNNNNNNNNNNNNNNNNNNNNNNNNNNNNNNNNNNNNNNNNNNNNNNNNNNNNNNNNNNNNNNNNNNNNNNNNNNNNNNNNNNNNNNNNNNNNNNNNNNNNNNNNNNNNNNNNNNNNNNNNNNNNNNNNNNNNNNNNNNNNNNNNNNNNNNNNNNNNNNNNNNNNNNNNNNNNNNNNNNNNNNNNNNNNNNNNNNNNNNNNNNNNNNNNNNNNNNNNNNNNNNNNNNNNNNNNNNNNNNNNNNNNNNNNNNNNNNNNNNNNNNNNNNNNNNNNNNNNNNNNNNNNNNNNNNNNNNNNNNNNNNNNNNNNNNNNNNNNNNNNNNNNNNNNNNNNNNNNNNNNNNNNNNNNNNNNNNNNNNNNNNNNNNNNNNNNNNNNNNNNNNNNNNNNNNNNNNNNNNNNNNNNNNNNNNNNNNNNNNNNNNNNNNNNNNNNNNNNNNNNNNNNNNNNNNNNNNNNNNNNNNNNNNNNNNNNNNNNNNNNNNNNNNNNNNNNNNNNNNNNNNNNNNNNNNNNNNNNNNNNNNNNNNNNNNNNNNNNNNNNNNNNNNNNNNNNNNNCCCCCCCCCCCCCCCCGGUCCGGUGGGACCUUGCCCGCGGCCACCGCAGCCCGGACCCAGCCGGCCCGGCGCCCCCCGCCCGGGCUGUCAAGGUUGCGCCACUCCCGUCAUUGCCCGUGGCUGCCCCUGCCGGUUGCCCACGAUCCGUCGCCCGCGUCAUCCACGACCGGAGGUCGUCUGACCACCGCUCGGUGCCCGCCUCCACGCCUUGCCGCCAGUGUUCACCAGGGAGAGGUAAAACUCUAAGAAGAGUUAUAGUUAGAUAGAUGAAUUAGAAUUAUAUUGAUAGGUAGAAUUUAGAUAGGUAGGUAGAAUUGGUAGAUGAAAUAGCUAGAUACGUAAAUUAGAAUAGGUAGAUAGAUUUGUUAGAUAUGAAAAUUAAUCUGUAUGGAUUGUAACGAUAGAAAGAUUAGAGGAUACUCAUGACACUAUUUAACUAGAUGUAUGUCCAAUUUUCUUUACGUAGUUAGAUGUACAGUUAGUUACAUAGUAAACUAGUUAUUUAGUUAAGCAGUUGUAUAGGUACGUACCUAACUAACUAUUAGGUUAGUUAGUUGUAUGACACAGUUAGGUAGAUGUAUUUGGUAGUUAGUAGGCAAUUGAUACUAUCUUAUUACAUACUAGAGAUCUAGUACUUAGAAUGUUUAAUUUAUUAUGGACUAAAUGAAUUGUGCGUCGUUAUAUUGAUAUACUAGAUGGAGAACGUAGUGAGCAUAUAUUACGGAGGCACUGUGGAAAGGGAUGAAUAUGGAUGUGUUAAGUUUGUUGGCAUGCAGUGCGAGGUUGUCAUAUUCGAUGAGAAACCAUCGUUUAGUGAGUUGGUUGCAAGGGCUCGGGAGGAGCUACAUUGUCAUGAAAAUGAUGAAAUCACAGUCGAGGGCAUACUUCACCUAGGUUCCCCUCUCAACAUUCAAAGGAAGAUAGUCCCAAUUCGGUGUGCAGGUCAGUGGGAGAAAUAUGUGAGGACGGUUAUGAAUGGUCAUUCCCCAAGUGUUGAAGUGGUUGUUCGUCCGGUGGGAGUUGAUCGAAAUCCUCGUCGGUUUUCCCGACCAAUGGGUCAACGGGCACAUUUCGAUCCUCCCGUCCCAGAACCUGUUAUGAACGUGGAUGUUGCACCUACUAUUCCCGAUGCUGAAUCUGCCCCUAAUGAAGUAGUUGGACAUGGUUGUCGGAUUGAUGAUGAUGUGGCGGACUCUCCUAAUGAGUUCCUUUUCACUCAGAAUGAUCCGAGUAAGUGUCUCACCGGUUUCUAUUGAUACGAGAUAAUCCAUUCGUUCCAUCCACUUAUUCUUUACUCAUAUUUGUACUUGAUGGCGCAGGAGAUAUUCCAGAAAAUGUGGAUGUGCCUCUAGUUGAUGCGCAAGUGCAAUGUGGAGAUGGAUUGCGUGGCUCUAAUAAUGUUGAAGUUUUGAAUGAUGAAGAUGCAUACGAGAUGGGAGUGGAUCUUGAUUCUGAUGAUGAUCGUCCUGUUGGAGAGAUGACAAAGAGUAAUAUUGAGAUGUUCAGGCGUAUAUUCCCCGGACGUCGUGAUCCGAUAGUUCACGAGUUUAGCGACCUGACUCUUUCCGAUCAGGCGUUUGCAGAAGGACGUGAUGAUGACCUCCUAGAAGCUCCUGAAGCUGGUCCUAGUAUGGUUAUUGAGGAGGGUAGGGUAUUUAAGGACCUUCCCGCAUUGAAGAGAUGGUUGCAAGCCUUUGCGGUGAUACGGAAGAGAUCGUAUAAAGUGCUGCAUUCAUAUGCGGAGCGCCGUUACACAGUUGUGUGUGACAAGGAACGGUGUCCAUGGAGGGUUUGUGCAAGAAAGCAAAAUAUCACCGGGAAGUGGAAGAUCACAAAAGUUGUCGGUCCACACAAUUGUGCUGACCAUGAGCUUACAGUGAGACAUCCGCAGCUAACAUCUACCCUCAUUGCGAAGCGAUUGAUGGGAAUAUUGAAGGAACAAUCCAACAUGAAAGUGAGAACAAUUAUAAGAACUGUUGAGGAGAUUUAUGGAGGAUAUGUGAUAACUUAUGGUAAAGCUUGGAGGGCUAAGCAGCGAGCGUGGAGGAUGAUUUAUGGGGAUUGGGAGUCUGGGUACGAGCAGCUGCCAGUUCUUUUUAAUGCAAUUAAAGCGGUGAAUCCAAGCAUGCAUUAUGAGUACAUCCCAAAGCUAAAUGCUUGGAAGGAGGACGGGAGGCAGAUAUUCGGGCGUGCGUUCUGGUGCUUCCCUCAGUCUGUGGAAGCUUUUAGGCACUGUCGUCCUGUUUUCUCUAUUGAUGGUAUGUUUUUGAUUGGCAAAUAUAGAGGCACACUUCUUAUAGCCAUAUCUUGUGACGCGAACAAUAUGUUGGUUCCUUUGGCAUUUGCAUUGGUUGAGAGGGAGAACAAUGACAGUUGGGGGUGGUUCUUAAGACUAGUCCGGAUACAUGUGGUUGGUCCUGGUAGGGAGGUUGGCGUCAUAUCCGAUAGGCAUCAGGGCAUACUUCAUGCUGUGCAAGAACAGAUAGAGGGUUAUGCACCUUUGCAUCAUCGUUGGUGCACUCGGCACCUUGCGGAGAACCUUCUUCGGAAGGAUGGUGUGAAGGAUAAUUUUGAUCUGUUUCAAGUUGCAGCACGGCAGCUUGAGGACUAUUACUUUCAGCGCAAAUUGGAGCAGGUAAGGACCGCAACAAAUGCAGAAGGUCGACAUUGGCUUGCUGGUUUGAUGAGAGAUGUAGAUAAGUGGACUAGAGCUCACGACGCCGGUGGUUGGAGGUACGAGUUUCAGUGCAGUAACAUGGCCGAGUCAUUCAAUAAGUUGUUAUUGGGGAUACGUGGUAUGCCUGUGAACGCAAUCGUUGAAUUCACCUUCUACAGGCUUGUUGCGUGGUUCAAUGAAAGACACGCAAAAGCAGAAGCGUUGCAGGUUGCUGGGGAGAGAUGGGCUGAAAAACCAAAGAGACAUCUCAUCAUUGCAAAUGAAAGGGCUUCCACACAUGAGGUGCAAUGUUUUGAUCUCGACUCAGGGACUUAUCAGGUGGAGCAUAGGGGCGGUACAACGUCCGACGGUGAGAUCCGAGAGUCGAGGAUACAUGUGGUAGUUCUCCGAGAUUUCAAGUGCACUUGUGGUAGGCCAAGGCAGUACCACUUCGUAUGUUCUCAUUUGGUGGCAGCAGCUAGGCAUCGCAAUUUUGAUAUCGAGAGCAUGAUACCACAUGAGUUCAGCUUAGACACCCUUGUGCGGACAUGGAGCCCCCGCUCCUCGUAUAUAAGCGUGCCCUAACUUAUCGGUGUAUUCGNNNNNNNNNNNNNNNNNNNNNNNNNNNNNNNNNNNNNNNNNNNNNNNNNNNNNNNNNNNNNNNNNNNNNNNNNNNNNNNNNNNNNNNNNNNNNNNNNNNNNNNNNNNNNNNNNNNNNNNNNNNNNNNNNNNNNNNNNNNNNNNNNNNNNNNNNNNNNNNNNNNNNNNNNNNNNNNNNNNNNNNNNNNNNNNNNNNNNNNNNNNNNNNNNNNNNNNNNNNNNNNNUUCGUAUGUUCUCAUUUGGUGGCAGCAGCUAGGCAUCGCAAUUUUGAUAUCGAGAGCAUGAUACCACAUGAGUUCAGCUUAGACACCUUGUGCGGACAUGGAGCCCCCGCUUCGUGCCUUUCCGGGAUCCUAGAGAGUGGCCUCCGUAUGAUGGGCUAAAAUAUGUUGCGGAUCUUGCAUACCGUUGGAACAAACGUGGAACAAGGAAGCGGACGAGGCAUAACAUGACUAUGGAUCAGGUAUCCGGAAGAACGAGGCGUGGUAGAGCAACACCAUUUCUUGCUGAUCCAGAACAGAACGAGUGCGGCAAGUGCGGCAGAUUGGGUCAUAAUUCACGCACUUGCCGUUGGCAAAUUAGUGAGGUGCGACUAGUAGCUCUUUUCGUUACUUGAUAUGUGUUUUAUUCAUACAGGUUGUGUUUUCUACAUCUCUAACUUCAUGAUUUAUUGUUUACCAAUCUUAUUUCUUUUUGCUUUUUUGUAGGAUGGCGCACUUCCACCUUCUAGACCAGGCGUACGACCAGACCCACCGAGGUCGUUUCAUAGCGGGAGGGUAGGUAAUAAUUUACAAUUCAUGAUUAAAGGUUUGCGAGCGUCCACAUAUUGUGUCCUAUUUAAUCUCUGACUUGGUUUAUUUGCAUGCAGGUCCUUCCGCUCCUUCGUUCUAGAGCCCAUGAUGGGUUUUUGGCGCUGCAGUACGACGACCGCUACACUCCUUUGCUACAGAUGGCUGGCCUAGAUGUCAUCUCGUAUCAGGUUCGUCGUGGGAUGCCCAAGUUCAAUUCAGCGGCUAUAACUGCGUUGGUUGACAGGUACUGUUAGCACUAGUCAUAUUCAUUUUGUUAUGUCUUUACAUGUUAUCAAAUAAUAAUCCGGCGAAAUGUAGGUGGCGACCCGAGACUCACAGCUUUCACCUCCCGUUCGGAGAGAUGACAGUGACCCUACAGGACUGUCAGAAGAUGCUGGGUCUGUCGAUUCGGGGCCAGCCAGUCACUGGGCCGUGCGUCUCAGAUGGUUGGAGAGCACGAGUCGCAGCCUUCCUGGGGCGAGAGAUUGAGGAGCAGGGGACUCGCACAUCUGGAGUGCUAAUCUCAUGGCUGCGGGAACACUUCGGCCACUGCCCCCAGGACGCGGAUGCUGAGACAGUUGGGCACUACUGCAGGGCGUGGAUACUACACCUCUUUGCCUGCGUUCUUUUCCCAGACGCUACAGGUGACACAGCGUCUUGGAUGUGGAUGCACUGCCUCACUGACUAGCACCAGGCUGGUUUUUACAGCUGGGGAUCAGCUGUGUUGUGCUUUCUAUACCGGCAGCUGUGCGAGGCGUGCCGUCGGACUUCGGGCUCUCCGUCAGUUGGUGGGUGUGUCUACCUGUUGCAAUUAUGGAUGUGGUCCCGUAUUCCUGUUGGUCGGCCCGAGAUUAUACCGCGUCGACCGUGGUUCCCAGGUGAGCCGCCGAGACGACAGCCGACAUGGGCAUAUAUUUGGGAUCAGGUUAAGGUUAGCCAUACGAGGUUGGACCGCGCGUACCUUGAUUACAUCAACGAGAUAGACGCGCUCACUGCUCACAGUGUAAGUGAUUUUUUUUAGACAUGCUUUGUAAUCUUUUAGUAUAACAACUAACGUUUUUUAUUCAAAUUUUGCAGGUAAAUUGGCAGCCUUACGACGGAGACGAUCCACUUCCUUUUCCCCUUAGCUUCAUGUGUGCGACGGACGAUGAUAUUUAUAGGAUGGUGUGCCCUCUUAUUUGCUUCUAUGCUGUCGAGUACCACCUGCCACAUCGAGUCGCACGUCAAUUUGGGAUGAGGCAGAUUUGGCCACCACAGGCGACCUCGACUAGUAUAGAGUUACAUAAGUAAGUCUUUUCCUAUUUCAUAUAUUUCAAUACUAUUAACUAAAUUUUGGCUAACACUAACAUGUAACGUGACGUGCAGCGUGGAUCGAAAGAAGAAAAGGAAGGUCUCCGAGUGGGCCUCGUUCCACCACGCAUACAUUCAGGAAUGGGAGCUGUUCGAGGAGAACGUGGACGAGAACAACGAGCCGCACACAAACAGUGCGUACAGACAAUACCAGAGCUGGUACCAAGGUGCGACGCGGCACAGGCUGAGGGAAGCGUGGACGCAAGAUGACUACGCCGAAAUCCAGUCAUCCGACGAUGAAGACACGGUGUACGAUCAGAGUACUCAUGCUGGAAGGCAGGUGGAGGCAGGACCAAUCCUGGAUAGGAUGGUAAGACAAUUGCUUCACUUUUCUAUGUUCUAUGUUACGUUACGUAGAGAUUUAGAUAGUUAGAGAAGGACUUAGUGAUCAUCUGACUUAAUCAUUUAGUCAUUUAGUGACUUAGACAUUUGUUGCUUCAGUGACUUAGUCAUUUGUUGCAUUAGUGACUUAGUCAUUUGUUGCAGGGCCGUACCCUACAAACCUCGGUUAGAGAUAUAGAGCAUAUCCGUCCACGAGUUAGGGACCCCGAGGUACGGAGCAUCCUAGAGGUAAGUCUCAAAUUAUUCUUUCUAAUCCUUUAUUAAUACGUUACAUUCUUCAUUUGUGUAACUUGAUUUUACUACUGCAGCGAUUGUCAAAUCGGCUUCGUCGUGCCGCUGCUCGUUGUGGUUGCAGGACUGCCACGACGCGAGACGUCCACGUUCCAGCCCUUCGCGUGCCAGGCGUCGGUACGUCCAGCCAAGGCCCCUCAGGUUCGAAAUCAAUUGCAUCCGAGGAAGUCGACGACGACGACGAUGACGACGACGAUGAGCAGAGGGCCAAGGAGAUUGGCCCGUAUCAGCUCCAGGAGGCUCCCUUGACUCAGCCUGCACAAGUUGUAGGGGGUACUAGACUACGUCAUCCACGUUCUCCUUACACUCCAGGCACCGACGCCCUUGGUCACAAGGGUAAGGGUAAGACUAGGAGGCAGUGACGACUCUGAUUGCGAACUUUGUAUCAUAUGGACUAUUGUGUCAUUCUGAAUUAUUUGUGGAUUCUAUUGUGUCAUUCUGAACUUUGUAUAAGGACUUUCUCCCUUAACUAUUGUGGAUUCUAUUCUGAAUGUGUCAUAUGCUUGUGUCAUAUGCUUCUAUGUUUCUAUGCUUGUAUUUAUAUUCACUAUUCAUCUCGUAAUUUUGUAUGGAUUGCAUCAACAAGUAGGGGAAAUUCUGCCGAAAUUUCGCUAACAAUUACCAUUUUUAUUUUCUACGGAUAUUUCAGUAGACUACGACUUCGAAAUGCAUUACAUCGCAAAAUGAACAUAUGUCGUCUACAAAUUUCAUGUCCUUACUUAAAGUGCAUUAUUACACGACAACAUAAUAAAAGUCUCACAGUAGAAAAUAUUGUUCAUAAAUAAACCAUAGAACUAGAACCUAAAUAUGGCUACUGAGUGCAACGAGGCCACUUUCCCUUCCUUAAGGCAUCGGGAUUCUCCUCAACCGCUGCUUUCGCUCAGCGUGCCCGCUCAAGCUUCUUCUCUCUCUCCUCCCUGUUCGCAGCAACCCGCCUCCUUUCCUCCUCUUCCUUGUGCUCCUUUUCCGCAGCCUCCUCUACGAGCCUCUUCUCGUACACCUCCUUCCUCUCUGCAUCCCAGCGCAUCAUAUACUCCAAAAACUCCUUAUCUUCAGGAUCGAUCUCAGUGUCGAUCCACUGCUCAAAAUCAUAUAGCGGUGGAGGGGUCUACAACAAAUGCAAUUGUUAUAAAACAAAAAAAUUAUGGACAAUAAUUAUAAGAUAACAACAUUUCCUUACCAACAUGUUAAUGCGGCGCUGACGAAGUGUAGGUUCAAACGCAAAGUUGGAACACAUCCAAUACCUCUGCCUAUACGUGGCAUGUUCUUCGGACUUGGCUACCUUGCAAGGAUCGCCGCAAAAGCACAUCGACACUGGAACACCACUAGGCAGAGGCAAUGGAUCGAACGCAUUUCCGGUCUUCUUUGCGCCAUAACUACAAUUUUGUUUAUUUGGUUCUAUGAAUCAAACGCACUUAAGAAUAAACCUACAAUUAAGGUUUUUUCAUUUGAUCCACAACAAUGAGUAUAUAACAUAACUACGGGCGUUGAGAUUACCUUAGUUUCUUAGCUUUUCCACGCCUCGGCAUCCUACAUUUGCAUGAAACCCUAAGUUCAAAAAUGCAAGAAAUAUAUAGCGAAUCGAUGUGAAAAAAAGGUAUGACGGAGAGAGGAUACCUUGCUCUUCAGGAUCCACGGAUCAAAUGAAAGUUUUCUAACCUAUAAUGUCGAUUCGUAGUCUAGAGCGAAGUAGGGAGAGUAAAACCCGAGAGAGUAGAGAAUAAUGAGGGAGGAACUCUCGGGCAGGAAGAAGGGGGGUUAUAUAUGGCAGGGGGCUUGGCGCCAGGGAGGCUGGCGCCGAGCCUCGGCGCCAAGAUCUAUGGCGCCAAGGCUUGGCGCCAGCGACGGUGGCGCCGAGGCUUGGCGCCACAGAUCUUGGCGCCAAGCCUCCGCGCCACGUCAGCGGGCCGGUGCCACGUUGGUCGCGCGGUGUAGGGGCCUUGGCGCCAGGACGGCUGGCGCCAAGACGUUAUACCUUGGCGCCAGCCAGGCCGAGGGUCCAUUUUCGGAAUUGGUUUCGCCAGGGGCCUAUUUGUGAGAUUUUUUCCGAAAAAGGUCAAAAAAACAAAAAAGACGGCCAUAAAACUAGCUGUAAGCUAGGCUUGUUUUUAAUGCCCACUUGUUGCUACAGUACUCCUACUAAUUCAUUUAGGCGAAUCUACGCCAACAGAUUAACAGGAAAUCGUGUAGCGGAGCUGAGCGCUGCAGCUAGCUGACGGUUUGCUUACCAGCAACUGACGGAGCCAAUAAAUCAGCUAGCCCGAAGCUUAUUUCCUCACCAACCACCAACUGCCAAUUUGUGCCGUACUACAUGGGCCUUGUUUUUGCUUAAACAAGCUGUAGUUUUACAUUAGAUUAGAGCAUGUUUGGAUACCCUGUGUUAAAAUUUAACACCCGUCACAUCGGAUGUUUGGAUGCUAAUUAGGAGUAUUAAACAUAGGCUAAUUACAAAACUAAUUGCACAGAUGGAGUCUAAUUCGCGAGACGAAUCUAUUAAGCCUAAUUAGUCCAUGAUUUGACAAUGUGGUGCUACAGUAACCAUUUGCUAAUGAUGGAUUAAUUAGGCUUAAUAGAUUCGUCUCGCGAAUUAGCACAGGGUUCUGCAAUUAGUUUUAUAAUUAGCUCAUGUUUAGUUCUCCUAAUUAGCAUCCGAACAUCCGAUGUGACACUGUUAAAGUUUAACACCUCGUAUCCAAACACCCCCGGGGUGUUUAACACUCUCAAAUAGAGUGCUAAAGUUUAACACAUUGGGGUGUUUGGAUGAUGUGUUAAACUUUAACAUCUUUAGUGGGAAAUGACUCCAUUGCCCCCUCAUUUAUGGCCAGCGGAGAGAGAGGGAGGAGAGAGAAGGGGUAACCUGGGAAAAAGUGGAGAGGGGACCACUUUUAACACCUUUAGCAAGUUUUAACACCCCCUUCAUGUAUUUAUGAAAAAUAGGGUGUUAAACUUUAACACUCCACUUUUAACACAAGUGUUUGGAUAGGAAAGUGUUAAAAAGUGUUAAAAGUGGGGUGUUAAACUUUAACAUGAGUGUUUGCGUGAUUGAUGAUUUGUGUUGCUGUUUUGCUCAUUGGAUAUCCCGUUCUUCGAUUGAAGGUGGACUACCAAUAUGCUUGAUGGUGUAUGAAUCACGAUAAUUGAGCUUCAGAAAUGCGGUGGUUUGCCGGCAGGUCGCAGACUCUCUUCGUUUCUUGUAGGCAACAUUUUGUGAUACGGCCCAGCCCACACAGCAGCACAGCACAACGGUCCCACGCAGCCGCCGCACCCCCGCUCGCACUAGCGCCGCCGCUUGCCCGCACGAACGCCGCCGCUCCCCGGCAAGGGGGACUGGACGAGCACUUACGGACGUCGCAGCACGCUCGAGCGCCGCUGCCCCCCCGCUCGCGACGAACAUCCACCUCCAGCGCUCGCCGUUAUCUCCGGUGAGUUUCCCCUUCUAGAUCUAGCGUUCCUCUGGAGUCUGGAUUGAUCCUCCCCAGUUAUUUUCCUCGUUGAUUUCCUCCUCCCCACAUGUUCUUCAUUUCUUGAGGAGUAGAUGGCAGCAUCGAGCAGCACUAGUGCUAGAGUAGUAUCUGCGGCCGCAACCGACAUCAAGGCUCCACUAUGUGAUCGUGUUGACAUUUUAGAGAAACCUAAAUCUGGUGUAAGCAAUAUUUUCUGGAAAUGCAAUUAUUGCUCAAUGGAGAAGUUCACUAGCUACACUAGGGUAGUGUGAACUUUGUUAUGCAUUGCUAUUUAUUAUUCUUAAAAAAAUGCUGAAACAUAUGCGCAUAUUGGAGUUUUCAGGUGGAAAUGCCGUACCCGCCUAUCCAUGUAACAUAGGGAGUAAGCGCUCACUACGCUGUGCUGUUUUGAUUAAUCAAAUCAGAAAGGUUUCUGAGUCUGAACUGUAUUGUUUUUGUAAUGUAUGGGCUUAAGCCACAACCUGAGAAUUUCUCCAUACUUAUUUGUAUUCAUUAUAGAAAUUUAAGAAUUAUCGGCAGUAGUAUGAAAAUGUUUGCUUCUCCUGUAUUUCACUUAUGAAUCACAUCUUAAGGUUACAUUUGAUCCAUUGAGCUUAAAUAAAUUAGAACCGAAAAGCUAGAAGUUUUUAUUGAUUCAAUAUCUGGUUUUGUGAAGAAUAAGGCAAGAUGGCAAUGGCCACAUCAUCAGCAUACCCUCCGCCUCCACCAUUUUACCGACUUUACAAGGAUUACGAGCAAGAUCCCUCAUCUGCACCAGAACCUCCACCGCCAAUUGAUGGAAUAUAUACAGUCUUUGGUGUUGAGCGCAAAGUAUGUUGCUUAUUGUACUUUUCAUGCUACCCUCUUAUUCGUUUUGCUAAACUCACUGUGAUUUGUCUCCAUGGUAUCUAGGUAAAUGAGGGGCUGCAAAGCUUGGAGAGUCUAGGUCUCCGCCAGCUUUAUCCAAAGGGUCCCAAUAUUGGUGCGUCUUGUUCUUGAGAAAUAGAUAUGUUUAUCUGAGUAUUCAUAUUUAUCUCAAAUGUCUGUGAUUUUUUGAAUGUUAGAAAUAUUUAUAAGCAUAAGCCAGUUUAAUUUUUUAUACCAAAUAAGUUGUUUCUACAAUUUUGAGUACUUAAUAACUUGUAUCUUUGGUUUAAUGAGCUGCCUCUUUGGAAAAUUGAUUAAAUUUAGACUUCAAAAAGGAGCUGAGGACCCUUAACAGAGAGCUUCAACUGCAUAUUUUGGAGCUGGCAGAUAUUUUAGUGGAGAGACCUUCUCAGUACGCUCGCAGGGUAGAAGAUAUUUCACUCAUAUUCCAGAACUUACACCAUCUUCUCAAUUCCCUACGGCCACAUCAGGUGUGAGCGUGUGAGCCUAGUCUUUGUUCCAUAUGGUGUAUUGGUGUAUUGGUGUAUUUUUGUGCAAUUCCCAAAAAUGUAACAUUCUUUAAUACCUCUUAGGCAAGGGCCACAUUGAUUCACAUGCUUGAGAGCCAAAUUCAGCGCCGGAAGCAAGCAAUUGAAGAUAUAAAACAGUGAGUAACUGCUCCUUUUACAUUCUUUAAUAUCUUUAGGCAAGGGCCACAUUCAUUGACAUGCUUGAGAGCCAAAUUCAGCGCCACAAGCAAGCAAUGGAAGAUAUAAAACAGCGAACAACUAGUCCUUUAGCUUGGAUGCAUAAAUUGGAAAAUGGAUUGUGUCCAGACAUGCUUCCUUGUUCACAAAUGUUGCAAAAUUCUUUUUGUGUCUUUUUUCUUUUACUACAGCAUUACAACUUUUGCACAGUAAAGAACUGAAGAAGUGAAGUAUUGUUAUCCGUUACAAUACCGAAGGACCAUUUAACUACUGUUUACUGCUUCAGUUUGAAAUGUAUAUUGUAGUUCAGGAGAUGGGUGUCUGAUAGUUUUGAUAAGAAGUGGUAGAGAACAUGGUAUUCGAUAAAGUUGAUUUGUUACCUUGAAUACACAUUUUAUACAUUAUCCUGUAUGUCUGCUUCAUUUUUGUGUGUAACCUUCGUCUCAGGGACCAUAAUAAUUAAUCGCUUGCUUGCAAAUCUUUUUUUUCAUUGUAAAUUGUGACUGCACAAAUGUAGUAUUUUGACAACCCAUGAGUAUUUUCUUACUUCAGGAGGAGACAGGAAGCGCAAACUCUGCUUGGCGAAUCACUGCUUGUCUUAGAUGGAAGCCAAGCUAAUUAGGCUGGUGCCAUUUGACUGUCAGAAGACAGAUUAGUGCUCUAUGAGUUCGAUAGUGUGUGUAGAAGUUUGCUUGCAGGGACAACCCAGAGACGGUAUUGAGAUAUUUCUUGCUUCUUGUGGUGUCUGUUGUCGCCUUGUUGUAUUUCAGCUUUGAUCACUGAAUCUUGUACAUUGAUGGUCGAUGCUAACAUACUCCAGCUACUUCAUGCUUUAACUGUGAUGUUUAUGUUCCAUACCUUUUCUCAGUUGGGAGUUGCUGUUGCAUACUUGCAUUAGUCUGUAGUCUUAGCGGAUUGUGUGGUUGAUGCCCAUACUUUAGAUGCUUCUUUAAUUUUAUUUUAUAUUGCUAUGCGAUUGCAUGCCGAAACAAGUCGGUCAAAUGCCAAGGGAUUAAACCUGGUAUUACGAGAGCCAAUGUGUUCUGUAAAAGUGCGACGGGCUAGUUUGUUAUAUAUGUCCAGUUUUGAUUACUAGCGAUUCCAUCGUCUUGUUGCCACACAUCCUCUGCAUCCUAUUUUCUAUGAGCCCGUGUCUACUUGCUGCGGUUUUGUCAGUACAAAUAUUGCGAAGCAGUAUUUUAGUUACUGAUUGUGGGUUAUCUGAGUUUAAAGGCUCCCCUGUUUGGUAGCCGCCAGAGCUCGCAAGAGCCGCGCCUAACCUGUGGCGGACAAAACGUCCGCCACGCUUUUGGCGUACUACAGCGCACGGUUAUCGCUAAGCUCCGCUUCCUAUGACUAGCUUGGCUGUUUAUGGGAUAGCGUCAAACAUGUGAAUAGCCCGUCACGUCUGUUUUCCUCUUCCCGUAAAAGUUUCAGAUCCUGACCAUCCGACCUUCCACCGACGGCUACGAUUGCUGUCCCGCCAACCAGAGCCAAACACGCCUACCGAGGCGUAAAGGCAAAACUUGCAACCGAAGAGCAUAGGAAUACUUGCAAAAAUCAGAACACGCGAAUCCAUUGGAUUGGCAAGCAGUAUAUCAACAGACAUGUAAAAAAACAUCGUCUUCCAAUAACUAAUAAUGUGAAUGAGAGAACCCCACAACGGAUAGCAAAAGAGUCUAGAACAUCCACAAAUGCUCGAUUGCAAUUUAGGACAGUCUAGAACAUCCACAAAUGCUCGAUUGCAAUUUAGGACAAUCUCUUGUGUAAUCCGCAAAAGUGAUCCAGCAAUGCCUCGCCACAAAAUAUUACUGGAGUAUCUAUGUCACUGCCACCUGCACUCAACUACUGAAAUGCUUUUAAUCACAAUGCAUGCGCUUCUCCGUUUGAAGUUGCUAAUGAUAAGAUGCCCAGUAACAACAGGCUGGACAGUUUCUUGCCGUCUGAGUGCAAAUAAAUCCAUGAAACUAUCUUAACUACAGGAGCCCCUCAGUAGAAAACAGAAGCCAUCAGCCGCAAUGGACUCCAGAUAAGCCACACUCCUAAAACACACAGAAAGAAAGUGUCAAAGAAUCACUCAUCUAGACCUAAUUUAGAUCAAUUGGUAGACCGUACAGACAGAUGCACAAAGGAAUGGGUGUGGAUACCAUCAGCUGCGACAGAAAACAACAUAUAUUGCCACCCCCUUCUAAUUGGCCAGGCGCUUAUGAGGUGAGGUAAGGCAACGUCAUACUAAUCCAAGAAAUUGCAAACCAGCAGCGUGGAGGACGCAAAAGGAAGGAAAACAAAAGGAUAAGAAGGGGCUCGCCCAACCUACCAGCCAGCCCAUAUGCUCCUCGGGCCCAUGCUGUAUAGGGUCAUCUGAUCCAGUGCGGCCACUACCCCUACGGCCCUCUUGCUUCCUCCACACCCCUGUUCUACAGUUCACUACUGCGACCUGCAACUCUCCUCCCGGUCGCUUCCUUCCUUCACUGCUCUGUGAUCUCUGAUGAACCGCAGCUGCUGCCCCUCCUCUCCCCCAGGUCGACAAUGCCACAGUUUACUGGAGCAAAUUUUGCACCACCCACACCGGAGCCAGCGGGGACACACAGAAUUCCAGCACGCCUCAUCUCCUAGGUGACGACUUGAAAAAUAUACACAUCACAAUAGUCUAGAAAGUAUCUCUCUAAAGUUAUAAUAACAAAUAAUCAUGUAGCUAAUCUCUAAGGCUCUUCCUAAAGAAUGCUAAGCAAUCUUAUGUAAUUCAUUUUACGAACAUCACAAGAUUAGAAGACUAAUAUUCUAAAAGACUAAACAGCACAUAAUGGGAGCAGCAUUAAUAUCCUGAGCUCACAAUGAGACUAUGAUAGUCAGAUACAGGAUUGCAAGCUAUCUUUUUUCACAGCUCAACACUAACCUUUUGUGAACUACCCAGGAAGCUCUUGGCUUUAAAUCUUUAUGGAAAUUUUGAGUCCUUAUGAUCCCCGUUCAACAAGGCAGUAAAACAGUUUGCUAGUUCCGAGAUAUCAACCUCAGUAGAAUAUCAUUAAUUCUUAUUCUAGACCACCGUUAGAAAUUAGAACAGUAGUUUAGCAUAAAGUUUGGAAGUAAAUUAUUAAAAGAGCUCUGUAGGUUAAGACCAAUCAAGCAGGACUCUACUGCUGCUAUGUAAAGAGAUUGUCACACAGUUGAGUUUCCUGAACAACACACUUCUUAGAACUAAUGGUAAAUUUUAUUUGAAUUGGCAUACCUUCACUAAAAUUCCGGGAAUGAAGUUUCUGGCUCCAUCUUAGCAGCAACAAAAAGUUCAAUGAUUAUAUGCCUAGCUUAUCAAGUUUACACGUAUGGGUGCCACAUGGAGUGGAAAGUAGAAUAUAUAGUUCCGAAUUCAAAGACAUACUGUGUUUGGAAAAUGAAGAUCAUUUGGAUCACUAACAAGUUAAAAUUUAUCACACAGACAAGUUACGCAAUUAAGGCAGACAGCAUAUGGAUUACAAUCUUUCAAACUCAUGUACCCAUUACCUCAAUAGAUGCUUAUCGGCUUGUCAAGGCAUGUGGCAUCAAUAACGUGGUCAACAAUAUUUCCUUAACAUAUAUUAGUGGUCAAAGAUGAGCAAAUGGAACUGCGGGGCACACAAAGCAACGUCUCACAGUACUAGGAAGACUACGUCUAAGUGCUAACAGGAACUGCAUAAUCAUCAAAUAUAAGUGUAUGAUAACUAGCAAAGACCGAAUCUCGCUUCAGAACCUAUAACAUCAGAAAUGCAGUAAUACAAAAGCAUUCCAAGUUUGAAUGCCUACAAUAUAAGAAAUAGUGGUCCAAGUGCAUGCUAGUACUAUAGCAUGGAAACGAAUUACAGCAAUACCGCAUGCAAGAGUCAAUCACAUGACGGUGAAAGAAAUGCAAGUAUUUUUUCUCGAAACAAAAAGCCCUAGAGCCAACUCUAACAGAAAAUACCAGAACGUACCACCAACCCAUGGCAGUAGUCUAGUAGGAGAGUUGAUAAACUACUAACUAGUUUCAUAACUGCUGCUCCAUAAAAAGGCGAAAUAAAUCUACACUGUCCCAACCUUAGUUAAGUAAAACAAAGUGUAAGGGCUGCUUUUGUCCAUAAAUCAUGUUGAAAUAUGCAAUGCAUACUUGAAAUAUUUUAGAAGAUUGUGGAGAUCUCAAGAAACUAAUUUUGCCAUGUAUAAGGAUAAGAUCAUGGCAAGGUAAGAAGGUUUCCUAGGUGGUUCUCCAUGUUUCAAUUAACAGAUGUGGUGUUGUAAUAAAGCAUAAAGGAACACAGAGUAAAAAAAUAAAUAAACAUAACCAUGUUGUUCAUUUUACCAACCCAAUUGAGCAAACUAAGCAUCAUCUACCAACAAAUUUAAUUAAAACAACCCGACUGCAAGGUAUGAUCAAAAGAGACUAGGCAUCAUCCUUAAUAGGAACCCAUCAUUUUAAUGCAAGCGAUAGAUAAAUAUUGUGCAUAAAUUGCAUGUCAUUUAGGUAUAAACGGGAAUGACCAAGGACACUUGCCUUCCUUAGAGCCCUACUGCUGCUCAGAGCCUUCAAAGCCUUGAUCUUCUAUGAAUUCUUUGAACGGCGCACUCUAUACGCAUCACACAAGUACAUGCAAAGAAAGCAAUACAAAAAAUGAAAAACAAUACACCAAUAGAAAUAGUAGAACUAAAAAGUGGUACAAACUAUUAUAUACGUUAUUAUGAACACUUGAGCAGAAGAAUCACUCAAAAUGGAGUUAAAACGCGAAAGAUAUGCACUAAACAAGGUUAGGGGCUUGUUGGCAAGUUUUAGAAACUUCCAAGGGCUUAACUGUGAAAACCAAGGGCAUAAAUGUAAAUACACAUAUAAACACGAGGCCUAACACAUAAAAAGCUAAAACCGAACUAUAAUGAGAGAAUCUAUACUUUCUGAGGGCUUUUUUCACAAAAGUUACAAGACACCUAACUACUACAAUUAAUUACAUGCUUUUUCGAGGAUCAAAUCGCAAAAAGGUCAUCUUCCAGCUCCAAACCAGAGCAGCGAUGGUUGUUCUCGUGGCAAUGGGGGCUUGGGACGGUGCUGGUGGCACUAGCGCGGGUGCACAGGCGAACGGCUAGCGGUGCGAGGGCGCGGGGCAGCUAGGGGCGCGGAGGCGGGAAAGUGCGGGCGCAGGUAGGGCGAGCAGGUGGUUGAGCGAGCGCGACUCAGGCGCGGGCACAUGGGCGGCCGAGCAAGAGGGGCAGCACUUCUACGGCUUGGGAAGUGUCGACCAUGGCCGGUGCUAUGAAACAGAGCGACAACGAGAGACUAGAAGGGGAUCGAUGACCAUGAUUCAUUACACUCGCAUAAGAUGGUGAAACAGCGAUACCGACGAGAUGAAUGCGAUGGUGUCCUCACCUUACGGUGUAUUUGCUUGUCAAAGUUCUCGUCGGAAAGUUUGUUGGAGUUCCGGAGAUCCAAAAAUUCGGCGUCCAACCCAGGAAGUUAGGGUUUGCAAAAUGAGAUUGGGUUUGCGGGGUUGGAAAGCGAACGUCGAGGAGAUUACCGGGUAUAUUUAUAGUUAGGGUAGGAGUCGGGUUUUAUAUUCUCCUUUUUCUUAUUUCAGGAAUUAAAAUAAUAUGGUUUGGGACACGGGAAAUCCAAAUAAAAUAUUUAAAGCUAGGGAAAAACUAUGUAGGACCUUAUAAAAAUUAGAUUUAGCUCUAGGAACAAGAGAAUAAAUUCUCAGAAAAACCUAAACCUCGCAUAACGCAUUUUUAAAAUUUUUACACUCAUGAAACACCAAAAUGCACAUGCAUGAAUUCAUGAAACACACACUCAUUUGGACUAAAUUAUUGGAUAUGAUAUUUAAAUUCAAUUAGCCUAUGGAAAUUCCAAUUAAAUACUAGGAAUUUAAAUAAGCCUUAAAUAAAAAUAGAAAAUUCAGAAAGUUGCUAAAUAAGUUGUGUGACGAAUUUUAGGGUGUUAUGUAGGUGCUUCCUUCCGGUUGCUAAAUAAAUUCAGAAAGUUGCUAAAUAAAAUCUAGUUCCAUCCACAUAUACGGCUGGUGUCUAAAUAGGGGUCGUAUCACGUCCACACAGGAACACUACCUGGGAAACAAAUGCAUCAUCAUAACAUGGCAUACAAUGCCACCAGGUCCUCCGGACCUCAACCUAUGACCAAUGCCGACCAGACCUGGGGCUAUGCCAAGGUCCUGCUCUAGUCUACCUGUUGCCCACUGUGGCCUCUUGAGAUGGUUUACUAGGUCCAACUUAGGGAUGAAAAUGGUACAGAUAUUAUCCACCUGUUCGUCCGACCGAAGGGGUUCAGAUACUCAAAUGGUAAGAUUCGGAUAAACUCAAAUGGUAAGUUCGUAUCCGAAUUCGGACAUUCAAUAUCCGUACCAUAUCCAAAUCUAGAUACUCAAAAUUGCAUUUCUAAGAUCCUAAUAGGAUGAAUAACAAUAUUCAACACAUCUUGUCACUAUUUGUAUCCGAAUUCGAUCUAAGAAAAAAAUAACUAUAUAUAUUUGUAUCCGCAAUAUCCAUUCGUAACCGAUCCAUUUUCAUCCCUAGUUCAGCUGGUGGGGUGUGAAUCAAGGCUUCACAUGGACAGGCACUCCCAAAGGCUGUACCUUUUCGGCACGUAUGGUUGCACGCUUUCACUAGAAAGAUUUGCCCAUGAAUCGGUCCUUAUAUGACCGAAGUAAGCUCUUGAGACAGGAUCCUCCACCAAGGCUGUCCCCCAACUCCCAAGUCUCUUCCUUAAUAGUAUCUAACCCUUAGUUGGUUCUUUUUAUGUUUUUCUACAAAACACACACAUUUAGGAUUUUCCUUGAAAAACAUUGUAUAUGUGAUAUUAGUAAGAUAUUCUAUUUCUAAAAUAACGCUCGAUCGUUGAUCCAGUCAUGAUCGGGGUCAUUUAUGAGAUUUUUGGCUAGAAGUGGCUCCAAGUCAAGGCAAGGAAGAGAAUAGAUGUGGGUUGCUCCUAUGGUUUUAUAAAAUUAUGCAAGUCAAGUUAUUAUAUUGGCAACUUUUAAUAUUUAUGAAAAAUAUAAGAUAAAAAUAUGAUCAAGGAAGAAGGUGCUAGGACCGGCCUUCAUUGACGUUUCCUAGGUUGACCAGGGGCUCGGCUUCUUGCCUUCUGGAUUCUCAGCUUCUUGUCAGAGCCUGGUCAGGUGAACGCUUCUACACGUCUUGUUCAUGGCCCGACCUUCAUAUCCCUUCAUAUCUUCUGGAUCCUUGGCUUAUGGCCAGGUCUUGGUCAUGUCCUUGGUUCACACAAACAUACGAAUAUACAAUCAAUUGUAGCAAAUAAUAUAUGACUAAAGAAAAUGGAAUAGGACUGUUGAUGGACGCUUUGGGAAUUAUCUAAAUGAUAAUCCCCGGAUAAAAGAUGAAAUGGUUUGUUAAUUAUUUAGGAAUAAGUUUCUACAUAAAUAAAUGGAUAAAAUUGUUGAAUUUUGAGAAGAAUUCUAAGAAAUAAGGAAUGGAUUUUCUAGGGUUUUUGACAGGCAUCAUGAUGGCUAGAUUUUAUUGAUAUCUAAGAUUUUGGUUGGCGGCAUAUCGACUAGGUUUUGGAAUAGACCCUAGGUAUGAUUUGGAUGUUGGAUGGUGCAAAUGGAUUUCAAGGCUAUGAAACUUGCAUGACAUGCUCGGCUUCGACUCGGGGGUCAGCCGUACAAUAGGUGGAGCUAGUCAAGUUUUCUUGGACGUGGGUGUCUGUCAAUCCUGGGACAUUAUCCAUCAAAAUCUUCCACCUUUUGGUAGAUUUUGCAAACAAUAUGUAUAUAUGUUGGAUGAGAUAAAAAAAUAAAUAGCUUAGCUGCAAUAUUUAACAAAUAGUAAGUUUCAAACUUUUCCCAAGUCAUGGCAUAUUAUAUGAAAACAAUGCAUAAUAGAAAUAAUAGUUUACCUGCAAGAUUUUCUAAUAUCACAAAGAGUAAGAUUCAGACUAUGACAUGCACACGGCAUGUAUAGUGCUCUUCGAUUAAUUUCAAGCAAGCGCUUCUGAACACCUUGGUGAGGACCCUUCAUAUUUGAACCAUUAUUAUAGCCUUGUCCUCUCACAUCAUCAAUAUUCAAAUCAAUAGAGGCCAAUACAUUCUUUAAUUCAUUCAAGAGAGGCCAAUACAUUCUUUAAUUCAUUAAAAAGAUCCAAUCCUGAUGUGUCAUCUACCUUCAAGAACUCUAGGAAGAACUCCUUUACCCUUGGAACAUUCCUCGACAUAUUGACACACCGAAUAAUUAGAGUCAUUUGUUCUUCAUGGCCCACAUCUGGAGUACAAUCUAAAAUCACAGAAAAAUACUUGGCAUCCUUGAUGAUCUUUAAUGCAGUUUGUUUCACACAAUCUGCAAGAAGAGAAAUCAUCUCAUUCUGAAUUUUAUGCCCAAGAUAAUGAUGAUCAAUCUCACUAUUUUAAAUCUGCCUAAUAUGGUCUUGCAUCACGGGAUCAAAUUCACUCAUCAUUUCAACUGUGCCCAAAAAGUUACCAUUGCUAUCUUGAUAUAGUUUCUCAUUUUUCCCUCGAAAAGUAAAAUUAUGUUUAGCAAGAAACUUGACUGCAGAAAUAAUUUCUUACUAAAACUUGUCUCCAACAUUCUCUCUCCUUUGGAAUUUCCCGUUGCAAAUCAUCAUCAAUUAUUUUAUUUUUGCUCAACCUUAGCCUAAGUUCAUUCCAAGUAUUCAUGUUUGUUAUAUGCUCAACACUAUUCUCAUGUUGCUUGAGUCUAACACUAAGAUGUUUCCAGUCCCUGAAUCCAUCAUGUGCUAGCAAACUUUUGCUCUGACUUGAUUUGAACAAUUUGAAGCAAAAACAAAAAACUUUGUCCACAUGUUUAGAGUAAACCAACCAUUUUCUAUCAACCACAUCACCAUUGCUUAACUUUCUGGAGUACUAAGCAUAUGUAAAACGUCUAUUAAGAGCAUCUAUGGGGAACUCAAGAUUCAAUUCUCUCACUAGCCCCUUUUCAAUCAAUAUAUCUCUACCCUUUUUAUCAAGAUUUUCCCAAGCUCUAGGAUCAAAGACAUCAUCAAUAGAAUCUUCUUGCACAUCAUCAAUUGAAUUUUCAGGUUGAGAGGAAGGCCGUAAAUUUUCAUUCUCUGUAGCAACAUCAAUGACAUCAACUUGUUCACUUAAAUUAUCAUUAACUUGUUGCUGCCCUUGUUCUUCAAUAUCAAGUCCGCAAUAUUUUAGUGGAGAGACCUUCUCAGUAUGCUCGCAGGGUAGAAGAUAUUUCACUCAGUAUGCUCACAGGGUGAAGAGACCUUCAAAAGGGAGCUAAGGACCCUCCACAGAGGGCUUGCUUGCCUCGCUGAGGGAGCUAGCUUCAAAACCAGCGCAGAUUUCAUGGGCUGGUACUUGAUUGAGGUCCCGAACUGCGACCGGAUGGAGCUGGAGCACCUCUACAAUAUACCCUGAUCAUCAGUCCCAAUAUGCAGAUGGCAGGCUCUGCAGCUAUGGCGUUGCAAAAAUCAAUGCAGAGCUGCACGAUGGUGCUUCUCUGAAGCCUCCUUUUGUUAUGUGAACUUUCUUAACAUUGUUGGCCUCUGUCUGUUUACUGUUGCUCUGGAGCAUUGUGUGGCAUCGGGACAAGGUGUGCUCCCAGCUGCACAUCGAUGUGGUGGACUGGUUGUGUUUGUUUUUCCCACCUGGGUAGUGUUCAGGGUGUACUCGACUCUUUCAAACUGAGCUUUGUGUUUAGGCUUUGGAAGUGUUGAUGCCUCUCCGAAAGUGUGAGCUCAAGCGGAGCCUUGUAAUGAAGGGGGCGUUUAGUUCCCUUUGCUUAUUUUUAAGCAAGUGUCACAUCAAUGUUUAGAUACUAAUUAAGAGUAUUAAACGUAGGCUAUUUACAAAACCCAUUACAUAAGUGGAGGUUAAACAGCGAGACGGACCUAUUAAGCCUAAUUAAUCCAUCAUUAGCAAAUGUUUACUGUAGCAACACAUUGUCAAAUCAUGGACUAAUUAGGCUUAAUAGAUUCGUCUCGCCGUUUAGCCUCCACUUAUGUAAUGGAUUUUGUAAAUAGUCUACGUUUAAUACUCCUAAUUAGUAUCUAAACAUUCGAUAUGACGGGUGCUUAAAAAUAAGCAAACGAACCAAACCAGGCCGAACUCAAAACCUUUUAUGUCCUGUUGUGUAAUGCAUAUGGACUAGGGUGGUUGCCCUGGAACUCUAAAAUAUGUCACUCAUAUUCCAGAACUUGCACCAUCUUCUCAAUUCCCUACGGCCUCAUCAGGUGUGACUUGUGAGCCUGAGUUUUUGUUCCAUAUGGUGUUGUAUUUUUCUGCAAUUCCCAGAAAUGUACUUACAUUCUUUAAUACCUUUUAGGCAAGGGCCACAAUGAUUCACAUGCUUGAGACAAAUUCAGCGCCGCAAGCAAGCGAUUGAAGAUAUAAAACAGUGAGUAAUUGGCCCUUCUUUUACAUUCUUUAAUAUCUUUUUUGGCAAGGGACACGUUGAUUGACAUACUUGAGAGCCAAAUUCAGCGCCACAAGCAAGCAAUUGAAGAUAUAAAACAGCGAGUAACUAGUCCUUCUUUAGCUCGGCUGCAUAAGUUGGAAAAUGGAUUGUGUCCAGACACGCUUCCUGGUUCACAAAUGUUGUAAAAAUCUUUUUGUGUCUUUUUUCUUGUACCACCGCAUUGCAACUUUUGCAUAGUAAAAAACUAAGAAGUGGAUUAUAGUUAUCCGUUGCAAUACCGAAGGACCAUUAACUACUUGUUGACUGCUUCAGUUUGAAAUGUAUAUUGUAGUUCAGGAGAUGGGUGGCUGAUAGUUUUGAUAAGAAAUGGUAGAGAACAUGGCAUUCAUGCAUUUGAUAAAGUUGAUUUUGCUGCCUUGAAUACACAUUUUAUAGUAUCCUGUAUGCUGUGCCUUAUUUUUGUGAGUAACCUUCGUCUCAGGGACCAUAAUAAUUAAUCACUGCAUAAAUGUCGUAUUUUGACAACUCAUUGAGUAUUUUCUUACUUCAGGAGGAGACAGGAAGCGCAAACGCUGCGUAGCGAAUCACUUCUUGUCCUGGAUGGAAGCCAAACUAAUUAGGCUGAUGCCAUUUGAUUGUCAGAAGACAGAUUACUAUGAGUUCGAUAGUGUGUGUAGUAAUUCCCUGGCAGAGACAACCCAGAGGCCAGAGAUCUUUACUUGCUUCUUGUGGUGUCUGUUGUCUCCUUAUUGUAUUUCCAGCUUUGAUCACUGAAUCUUGUACAUUGAUAGUCAAUGCUAACAUACUCCUCCAGCUACUUCAUGCUUAACUGUGAUAUUUAUGUUCCGUACCUUUUCGCAGCUGGGAGUUGCUGUCGCAGUUGAUAUUUAUGUCUUAGCGGAUUGUGUGGUUGAUGCCCAUACUUUAGAUGUUUCUUUAAUUUUAUUUUAUAUUGCUAUGCGAUUGCAUGCCGAAACAGGUGGGUCAAAUGCAAGGGAUUAAACCUGGUGUUACAAGAUGUGGUCUGUAAAAGUGCACCGGACUAGUUUGUUAUAAGCCCAGUGUUGAUUAGUGAUUACUCCCUCCGUCUCAAAUUACUAUUCGUUUUGACUUUUCUAGUUAUAUAGUUUUACAUAUGCACCUAGAUAUAUACUAUGUCUAAAUACAUAGUAAAAGUUUAUGUAUCUCUGAAAAUGAAAACGAAUUGUAAUUUGGGAUGGAGGAAAGUUUCUGUAUCUCUGAAAGCGAAAAUGAAUUGUAAUUUAGGAUGGAGUACUAGCGAUGCCAUCGUCUGUGGCCACACAUCCCCUGCAUCCUAUAUUUUUGCAUCCUAUAUUUUCUAUGAGCUCGUGUCUUCCUGCUGCGGUUUUGUCAGUAUCAGUAAUUACAAAUAUUGCGACACAGUAUUAUAGUUGCUUAUUGUGGUUACUGGUACGCAUUCCGCUUAAUAGAUUCGUUUGCUUAAUAUUGCGACACAGUAUUAUAGUUGCUUAUUGUGGUUACUGGUACGCAUUCCUGCUGCGGUUUUAUCAGUAUCAGUAAUUACAAAUAUUAGCAAAUGUUUACUGUAGCAACACAUUGUCAAAUCAUGGACUAAUUAGGCUUAAUAGAUUCGUCUCGCCGUUUAGCCUCCACUUAUGUAAUGGAUUUUGUAAAUAAUCUACGUUUAAUACUCCUAAUUAGUAUCUAAACAUUGAUGUGACACUUGCUUAAAAAUAAGCAAAUGAAACCAAACCAGGCAUUAGUUAUCCUGGUUACUAGUUGCUUCUUGGGCCGGUUCCUUUUGUUUUAUUUUGGGCCGGCAGAGCGCUAAAACUGUGGUCCAGCAACAUCGACUGUUGGCUUGACUAGUGACGAACUGACGACGGAUUCCUUCAACACGAAAGAAGAUCAGCGGGGCAUGCUUCGAAUCGAAUAAUCAUCAACUUGGCCAAGAAACAAAGUGUGAACAAAAUGAAAGAGAGGCUGCUACAACAUCUAGAACCUUCUGGGUGGAGUCAAAGCAACAAUCAACUUUAACUGAAUCAACAUUGCUGUACCCAACUAGCACUCCAUUCUGCAGCCGGGACGCAAACAUGGAGACAUAUCUCAACCGUCAGAUCGUCCCGCCAUGCAAAUCGGGUCGCGAAUCGCACCAUUUCCUGGCUCUCUGCCGUACUAGCAAACUCGUGCCGCGCACGGGGGGAUCGCGGAGGUCAAACCGGGCACGUUGCCUGGCCAUCACGGCCGCCCGUGUCCCGGGGUCCGUCGCACCGAAGCAAACGCGCGGCCGACGCCUCCCUCCCGCCCGACUUUUUUUGUUUUUUAAGUCCUUUUUGCGAAAGAUUCUUACAAAUAGAUCCCUGGCAGAACCAAUUCCAAAAAUGGACCCUUAGCUUGGCGCCAUCCACGCUGGCGCCAAGCUAUAACGUCUCGGCGCCAGCCAUCCUGGCGCCAAGGUCUAUACAUAGCUACUGACGCGGAAUCCGACGUGGUGGGGGCUUGCCAAGCCUUGGCGCCAUGGAUCUUGGCGCCAAGCUUGACGCCGUAGAUCUUGGCGCCGAGCUAUCUACACCGUCCUUCCACGCAUUUCGAACUAAACAAGUAUAAUUAUUCUGAGAAAUAUGCAACAAAUUAAGCUGUGGUUCAACUGGUUAGGAGGAGGGCUUCUUAUCCUGGAGACUAGAGUUCGAAUCCCACUAUUGAACCAUUUUUUCUACAUUUUAUUUUUUUCUCUGUUCUACAGGUAAACAUGCACCAGUUCAACACUGGGGUCAAGCUCGGCGCCAGCGUCCUUCCACAUUUGUUUUUUUUUUGAGAGACGAACCCCAGCUCGGCCACUCUGCGAAACGUGAAGCCCACUUCCUAACCAGUUGAACCACAGCUUAGUUUGUUGCAAACUAUUCGGAAUAAUUAUACUUGUUCAGUUCGAAACGUGCAGAGGUACGGGGUAGAUAGCUCGGCGCCAAGAUCUACGGCGCCAAGCUUGGCGUCAAGAUCCAUGGCGCCAAGGCUUGGCGCCAUCAUGGAUGGCGCCAAGCCCCCGCCACAUCGGAUUCCACGUCAGCAGCUAUGUAUAGACCUUGGCGCCAGGAUGGCUGGCGCCGAGACGUUAUAGCUUGGCGCCAGCGUGGAUGGCGCCAAGCUAAGGGUCCAUUUUUGGAAUUGGUUCCGCCAAGAGUCUAUUUGUGAGAAUCAUUCGGAAAAAGGACUAAAAAACAAAAAAAGUCGGCCCUCCCGCGAGGGCAGCGACGACCCUCGCGGCUACGCGGUACGCCCUCGAGUAUUUAUCGUUCGGCCCCUCGAAAAUCUCCCACGUUUGCUUCUCCAACCACCUGCCCCCCCGC
Molecule: long non-coding RNA, 38348 nt
Filed under: Setaria italica (foxtail millet)
Lineage: Eukaryota; Viridiplantae; Streptophyta; Magnoliopsida; Poales; Poaceae
Description: long non-coding RNA (SITA_LNC000602)
Source: RNAcentral